AGAGUUUGAUCAUGGCUCAGGAUGAACGUUGGCGGCGUGCUUAACACAUGCAAGUCGAACGAGGUCCAACCUUCGGGUGAAGACCGAGUGGCGAACGGGUGAGUAACACGUGGGGAACCUGCCCUUCUCUCUGGGAUAACCUCGGGAAACCGAAGCUAAUACCGGAUACUCCUUGCGGACCGCAUGGUCUGCUCGGGAAAGCUCCGGCGGAGAAGGAUGGCCCCGCGGCCCAUUAGCUUGUUGGUGGGGUAACGGCCCACCAAGGCGACGAUGGGUAGCCGAGCUGAGAGGCUGAUCGGCCACACUGGGACUGAGACACGGCCCAGACUCCUACGGGAGGCAGCAGUGGGGAAUCUUGCGCAAUGGGCGAAAGCCUGACGCAGCAACGCCGCGUGCGGGAUGAAGGCUCUCGGGUCGUAAACCGCUUUCAGCAGGGAUGAAAAUGACAGUACCUGCAGAAGAAGCCCCGGCUAAAUACGUGCCAGCAGCCGCGGUAAUACGUAUGGGGCAAGCGUUAUCCGGAUUCAUUGGGCGUAAAGCGCGCGUAGGCGGCUUGUUAAGUCAGGCGUGAAAUCCGGGGGCUCAACCCGCGGCUUGCGUCUGAAACUGGCAGGCUUGAGUCUGGUAGAGGAAAGUGGAAUUCCUGGUGUAGCGGUGAAAUGCGCAGAUAUCAGGAGGAACACCAGUGGCGAAGGCGGCUUUCUGGGCCACGACUGACGCUGAGGCGCGAAAGCUAGGGGAGCGAACAGGAUUAGAUACCCUGGUAGUC
RNAcentral lists this ribosomal RNA (769 nucleotides) under uncultured Actinomycetes bacterium. RNAcentral's name for it is "bacterial SSU rRNA". It matches the Rfam family "Bacterial small subunit ribosomal RNA", at positions 8 to 795 of the family's 1533-position model. Lineage: Bacteria; Bacillati; Actinomycetota; Actinomycetes. The record is from RNAcentral.